RNAcentral lists this ribosomal RNA (460 nucleotides) under uncultured bacterium. RNAcentral describes it as "partial 16S ribosomal RNA". It matches the Rfam family "Bacterial small subunit ribosomal RNA", at positions 338 to 795 of the family's 1533-position model. The record is from RNAcentral.
CCUACGGGCGGCAGCAGUGAGGAAUAUUGGUCAAUGGGCGGGAGCCUGAACCAGCCAAGUCGCGUGAGGGAAGACGGUCCUACGGAUUGUAAACCUCUUUUGCCGGGGAGCAACGGGGUCCUUGCGAGGGCCCCAUGAGAGUACCCGGAGAAAAAGCCUCGGCUAACUCCGUGCCAGCAGCCGCGGUAAUACGGAGGAUGCGAGCGUUAUCCGGAUUUAUUGGGUUUAAAGGGUGCGUAGGCGGAAUGCCAAGUCAGCGGUAAAAUCGCGGGGCUCAACCUCGCUCCGCCGUUGAAACUGGCGGUCUUGAGUGGGCGAGAGGUAGGCGGAAUGCGUGGUGUAGCGGUGAAAUGCAUAGAUAUCACGCAGAACUCCGAUUGCGAAGGCAGCAUACCGGCGCCCAACUGACGCUGAAGCACGAAAGCGUGGGUAUCGAACAGGAUUAGAUACCCUAGUAGUC